AUUGAACGCUGGCGGCAGGCCUAACACAUGCAAGUCGAACGGUAACAGGAAGAAGCUUUCUUCUUUGCUGACGAGUGGCGGACGGGUGUGUAAUGUCUGGGAAACGGCCUGAUGGAGGGGGAUAAAUACGGGAAACGGUGGCUAAUACCGCAUAACGUCUCAAACCCAAAGAGUGGGACCUUCGGGUCCCUUUCCAUCGCAUAUGCCCAGAUGGGAUUAGCUUGUAGGUGGGGUAACGGCUCACCUAGGCGACGAUCACUAGCUGGUCUGAGAGGAUGACCAGCCACACUGGAACUGAGAAACGGUCCAGACUCCUACGGGAGGAAGCAGUGGGGAAUAUUGCACAAUGGGCGCAAGCCUGAUGCAGCCAUGCCGCGUGUAUGAAGAAGGCCUUCGGGUUGUAAAGUACUUUCAGCGGGGAGGAAGGGAGUAAAGUUAAUACCUUUGCUAAUUGACGUUACCUGCAGAAGAAGCACCGGCUAACUACGUG
RNAcentral lists this ribosomal RNA (490 nucleotides) under uncultured bacterium. Its description in RNAcentral is "partial 16S ribosomal RNA". It matches the Rfam family "Bacterial small subunit ribosomal RNA", at positions 30 to 507 of the family's 1533-position model. The record is from RNAcentral.